GUCUUCUUUCUAUUUAACUCCUAAUAAUACUCAUGAAGUGGAAGCGGAAGAUCAAAAUGCACUAGCAGAAGCAGGCCAAUUAGCCAUUGAGAAUAAUGAGACUGGAGAAUGGUGAAUCUUACACAACGAAAAGAGUUGAUAUCUUGACAAGGCUGAGAAGCGGGGCUAUUUCUCCAGUGAAGUAUUUUCCUCGCAUUUCUGCCAUGUCUUGUUAGAGUUCAAAGAGAAAAUUGAAUUGUGGAAGGAACAGGAAUUUAUUAGAAACUGUACUUAGAAGACAUAGUCUGCCUGCAAGACCAUGUAGUUCCUAUGCUUUGUUUGUAAUGUCAAAUUGGGUUUCUGUUAAGAAUUCUUCGUUCGGGGAAGCAAGCAAGUCUCUCGGUCGUAUAUGGGGCCAACUCUCCCUCCAAGAGAAGAAGGUCUUCAUUGGACAUGGCCUUGAAGGACAGUGCAAGGUAUAAAAGGCAACGUACGCUGCUGCAAGGUAUCA
This is a long non-coding RNA of Ricinus communis (castor bean), 490 nucleotides long. RefSeq lists it as uncharacterized. The transcript has 2 exons. The record is from RefSeq and is a predicted model, not a curated record. NCBI's taxonomy places the organism in Eukaryota, Viridiplantae, Streptophyta, Magnoliopsida, Malpighiales, Euphorbiaceae.